Non-coding RNA from Vibrio coralliilyticus, 135 nucleotides. Lineage: Bacteria; Pseudomonadati; Pseudomonadota; Gammaproteobacteria; Vibrionales; Vibrionaceae. The record is from Rfam.
AGUCAAAAAAAGGCCCGAAGCGGAUAUUGCUUUGGGCCUAGGGGAAUGGCUCUUACAGAGCCUGCGCUAACUGGUUGAUAUUCGAUGAUUUAUCAUUAGGUAAAGUGUAGUACAUCAUCGUAGUUUCGCUAGGCA